UUUAGUGUGCCACGGCGAGGGGGGAGGGGGGAAUUCAGAAACCACGCCAAUAAUUCUCGAAAUAUCUAAAUUGGACUCAAAAGCUAUCUUUUUCGAGAAAACUCUAAAGAAAACCAAUAACUAUUUGUCAUUCACAAAGUCCUCCGAAAAUAUCCAUUAGUAAGUAUAUCUAGAUCAAUGUACGAAAAAUAGCAACGUAACCUAGCACCACCAUAAAUAGGGGUAGCUAAUGAGCCAGCUCGGCUCGUUAUGACCCAUUUGAUAAUGAGCUAGCUCGGCUGGUUAAGGGUAAUAAGCUAAAAAUCAAGUUUGACUCAAUUCAUUUGAAAAGCUCGAGCCGGUCAAGC
Molecule: long non-coding RNA, 347 nt
Filed under: Setaria viridis
Lineage: Eukaryota; Viridiplantae; Streptophyta; Magnoliopsida; Poales; Poaceae
Description: long non-coding RNA (SVIR_LNC010510)
Source: RNAcentral